AUCUGGCGGCAGUCAUGGAAAAUUGUUGUCGGAUUUGGACUAUAGGCUAACUCUACUAUGACGACCACGUUUGAAAUCACUUGAACAUGUGUUUUCAGCCACUGAAGAUCCACUGCAACUUAAGUCGGAUUCAUAUUCGUUGCUGUCCUGCUUUUUAAUGGGUCUUAAACGUGAUAGUUCAAGCAUGGGUAGUGAUAACUGUCCUCGUCAAGUUUUGGUCUUACGUUGAGGAUAAUUUACUUAAAUACUGUAAACCUCUAAAUGAAUGUGAUGAAACAACUUAUCCACUCUGAGGUUGUUCGUCUAGGUCCAUUUGUGUACAAUGGAGAAUUCACUUGGAAGGUCUUAUUCGGUGGGGAGGCGAGCGUUUCUUCUCUCAGUGGGGUGUCCCGUUUAGUUGUUUUUUUACAGGAAUUCUAAUAUGUUGAUGGGUUCUGCAUUCAUCAUUCACUGUUAGGUUGUUUGCCUUUUGGAUGAUUGCAUCUCACAUACUCCUUUCCUCAAGUGAUGGAUGUGGACAUUUUUGCUGGUGUUGGUGUGCAGUUCUCACGUCCCAGUUGGAUGUUUUCUAAUGGUUUCUGCUAAGCUGUAGAUUGUUCCGUUACCGAACUAUUUGCGUCAAUCGGGUUCACUGUGGUGGGGUCCUUUGCGUUUUGUAGGGGUUUUUCAUCAGGUGUGGAUUCCGCUUGUCCGUUUAUAGUCUUGCAGCUCUUGCUACCGUUUGUUGAUUGUGAUGUUUUCGCGUUGCCCUCUUCGGACUACUUGCUUCAUGGUUGGAGCCUUGGAUGUCUAAUGGUUUUCGUAUACUGAUGAGUAUAGCUCAUGGGCUUUGUCUUUAUGUCAAUUGCUUCAUACCAAAUAAACAAUUUUAAGAAAUCA
Molecule: long non-coding RNA, 879 nt
Organism: Daphnia pulicaria
Lineage: Eukaryota; Metazoa; Arthropoda; Branchiopoda; Diplostraca; Daphniidae
Exons: 13
Source: RefSeq, a predicted model, not a curated record